AUACGGAGGGUGCAAGCGUUACUCGGAAUCACUGGGCGUAAAGCGCGCGCAGGCGGUCUUUUAAGUUGGAUGUGAAAGCCUACGGCUUAACCGUAGAACUGCAUCCAAAACUAUUAGACUAGAGUGUGGGAGAGGAAGAUGGAAUUAGUUGUGUAGGGGUAAAAUCCGUAGAGAUAACUAGGAAUACCAAAAGCGAAGGCAAUCUUCUGGAACACUACUGACGCUGAGGCGCGAAAGCGUGGGGAGCAAACAGGAUUAGAUACCCUAGUAGUCC
This 274-nucleotide ribosomal RNA is filed under the name uncultured bacterium. RNAcentral describes it as "partial 16S ribosomal RNA". It matches the Rfam family "Bacterial small subunit ribosomal RNA", at positions 523 to 796 of the family's 1533-position model. The record is from RNAcentral.